UGAAAAGAUAGGGUGAUUCUCUCCUCACUUUCUGUAUUCUGUAAGGAGUGGCCAUUGUCCUCAUGCUCUGGAAACCUCUGUGAACUGGAUCUGGUCUUGCCCACACGCAAAUGGAAAUGCCUAGAUGGAACUAAGACCGACGGAAAGGGUUUGGCCAAGUCCCAAAGAAAAGAAAAUGAUUCGACCCUAAGGAGGCAGACAGUCCUGAUUCCGGGCACACGAGGUAACUGAAGUGUAAUCACAUCGUCAAGAUGAUCAUGUGAUCUUGUGACCCAAAAGAAGAGACUGGACUCCUGGGCCACUGAGGAGAGAUGAAGCUGAGGAAGGUGGGCUGGCAGGGAGGCCUUAGAAGAAAAUGCGGGGAUGUCUGCGAGAAUUCCCAAGACAUUCAAGUGUCAUGCACAGUACAGACCCAGUCACGCUUUCACGGAGCUGCUCUUCUGGUAGAGACAGACAGACAAAUGCAGACACAUCCGAUGUGCUCCAGGACGGUC
Long non-coding RNA from Mirounga angustirostris (Northern elephant seal), 494 nucleotides. RefSeq lists it as uncharacterized. The transcript is spliced from 3 exons. Lineage: Eukaryota; Metazoa; Chordata; Mammalia; Carnivora; Phocidae. The record is from RefSeq and is a predicted model, not a curated record.